CCCUUAGAUGUUCUGGGCCGCACGCGCGCUACACUGAUGCAUUCAACGAGUCUAAAACCUGCUCUGAUAGGGGUGGGUAAUCUUUUGAAUGUGCAUCGUGAUUGGGAUAGAUGAUUGCAAUUUUUCAUCUUCAACGAGGAAUGCCUAGUAAACGCAAGUCAUCAGCUUGCAUUGAUUACGUCCCUGCCCUUUGUACACACCGCCCGUCGCUCCUACCGAUUGAAUGAUCCGAUGAAUAUCUUGGAUUGAGGAUGCAAGCAGGUUCGCCUGUCUUCAUCUUCGAGAAGUGAAGUAAAUCUUAUCAUUUAGAGGAAGGAGAAGUCGUAACA
Molecule: ribosomal RNA, 329 nt
Filed under: uncultured eukaryote
Lineage: Eukaryota
Description: partial 18S ribosomal RNA
Rfam family: Eukaryotic small subunit ribosomal RNA
Source: RNAcentral